Molecule: ribosomal RNA, 478 nt
Filed under: uncultured bacterium
Lineage: Bacteria
Description: partial 16S ribosomal RNA
Rfam family: Bacterial small subunit ribosomal RNA
Source: RNAcentral
GAUGAACGCUAGCGGCAGGCCUAACACAUGCAAGUCGAGGGAGAAGCCCUUUCGGGGGCAGAAACCGGCGCACGGGUGCGUAACGCGUAUGCAACCUACCUUUCACAGGGGGAUAGCCCGAAGAAAUUUGGAUUAAUACCCCAUAAUAUUAUUGGAUGGCAUCAUUUGAUAAUUAAAACUGCGGUGGUGAAAGAUGGGCAUGCGUCCUAUUAGCUAGUUGGAGUGGUAACGGCACCCCAAGGCUACGAUAGGUAGGGGUCCUGAGAGGGAGAUCCCCCACACUGGUACUGAGACAGGGACCAGACUCCUACGGGAGGCAGCAGUGAGGAAUAUUGGGCAAUGGUCGGAAGACUGAACCAGCCAUGCCGCGUGCAGGAAGAAUGCCUUAUGGGUUGUAAACUGCUUUUAUAUGGGAAGAAUAAGGCGUACGUGUACGUUGAUGACGGUACCAUAUGAAUAAGCAUCGGCUAACUCCGUG